Molecule: long non-coding RNA, 1119 nt
Filed under: Sorghum bicolor (sorghum)
Lineage: Eukaryota; Viridiplantae; Streptophyta; Magnoliopsida; Poales; Poaceae
Description: long non-coding RNA (SBIC_LNC002097)
Source: RNAcentral
UCACUUCUAUCUUGAGUAGUUAAAAGAUAGAACAGUCUAGUCAAGUGCCAUGUCUCUUAUUCUUGAUCAGCUAUAGCUCUGAAGUUUUUGCAGAUUUUCAAAUAAAACUCAGAGAUUCCUUGUAUGACUCUCUCAGAUCUCUCUUUUGUGGUAUUUCUGGAUCCUUACCAAGGCAGUGAUGGUAUAUACCUUCUCUCAAGAUAUGUGGUUUUUGGACAUUGCCUUCUCUCUCACCCUACUCUAAUAAGGCUUUUAUAUCUGGAGCUCAUAGGUGGGAGAUAAAAUAUACAUACUUACAAGACAUGUGUUGUAUAGUCAAACCAUGGAUCCAAAGAAACAAAUCAAUAAGUCGAAUCAAGAUGUGCAUGUGUGGCGAAUGAAUGGUAUAUGGUGAUGAUGGUGAUAACAAUGGUGGAAGUCUAAUUCUACUUUUGCUCUUUGAGGGGAUACAUACCUUCCUUGCUUUUUGAAACUUUAUGAGGAGAGUGAGAUGCUCUUCUUUUUUUUCUUUUCUCUCAGGUGGGUAUCUUGUACCCCUAAUUCUACUGUCGGACACUUGUCCAUUUUUACCUCUCGUCUCACUUUUUCUUUUUUUUCGAGGUUCCGGGCACUUGCCCCUUUUUACACUACAAGAAAUCUGCUAAUCUGUGACGGAUUCUUGAUGACGGAUUCAAAGAACGUCACAGAUGGUAUGCCACCACCAGUGGUACCCAUUCUAGUAUAGUGGAUAUCCAGCCCAAAACCCAAUACCUGCUCGCGUAUAUAAGCUGCCCAUAACCUAAUCCAUCAAAGAUUGCCUCCCCAGUCUCCACCAUCCGCCUCUCACCCAAGCGCCACCACCCCUACCGGUGUCAUCCACCUGACCUGAGCGCCACCGCCCCCAGCAAGAUGAAACUGUACCCGCUCCCAUCACACUCCAAAUCCUCCCCGUCUCUCUCUUGGCUCUCGAGCUCUCCCUCUCAUGGUGCCGACUAUCACCCUCUGCCAGAUCUGUUUGGAGGAGCGUCUCUCUCUUCCUCUACCGGAUCUGUGAGGAGGAGCGGGUGAGUGGCAGCAGCGGUGCGAGGGGUGUGCUCUCAUAGCGGAUCUCAUGCAUCUUCUCACUUACCCCUGUCGCAG